GAGAGUGCAGAAACUAGGAGUGUAGAGGGAGUUGCAUCCAAGUAAAUGUACAACAUCAUUAUGCUGGCUCGUCCUGGUGGCAAGACUGUUGUCUUGGGACUUGAAGAUGGUAUAGUUUCCCUGCAUGAUGUAGAAGUUUGGAUCUUCAUGUUAAAGUGGAAGCAAUUCGGUCCGAGGUUGAGAUCCUAUCGGUGUUGAUU
This is a long non-coding RNA of Rhodamnia argentea, 200 nucleotides long. RefSeq lists it as uncharacterized. The transcript is spliced from 3 exons. NCBI's taxonomy places the organism in Eukaryota, Viridiplantae, Streptophyta, Magnoliopsida, Myrtales, Myrtaceae. The record is from RefSeq and is a predicted model, not a curated record.